Molecule: transfer RNA, 77 nt
Filed under: Chlorobiota bacterium
Lineage: Bacteria; Pseudomonadati; Chlorobiota
Description: Chlorobi bacterium (bioreactor metagenome) tRNA-Met
Rfam family: tRNA
About the family: Transfer RNA (tRNA) molecules are approximately 80 nucleotides in length. Their secondary structure includes four short double-helical elements and three loops (D, anti-codon, and T loops).
Source: RNAcentral
GGGCCUGUAGCUCAAUUGGUUAGAGCGCCGGACUCAUAAUCCGUCGGUUGCAGGUUCAAGUCCUGCCAGGCCCACAA